RNAcentral lists this small nuclear RNA (93 nucleotides) under Catagonus wagneri (Chacoan peccary). The record is from RNAcentral. Lineage: Eukaryota; Metazoa; Chordata; Mammalia; Artiodactyla; Tayassuidae.
GUGGCACCACAUUUACUAAAAUUGGAACAAAACAUAUUAGCAUGGCACCUGCUUGAGAAUGACAGGAAAAUUCAUGCAGUGGUCCAUAUUUUU